AAAGGGUCCGUAGGCGGACUCGUAAGUCAGUGGUGAAAUCUCAUAGCUUAACUAUGAAACUGCCAUUGAUACUGCGGGUCUUGAGUAAGGUAGAGGUAGCUGGAAUAAGUAGUGUAGCGGUGAAAUGCAUAGAUAUUACUUAGAACACCAAUUGCGAAGGCAGGUUACCAUGUCUUAACUGACGCUGAUGGACGAAAGCGUGGGGAGCGAACAGGAUUAGAUACCCGAGU
This 230-nucleotide ribosomal RNA is filed under the name uncultured bacterium. RNAcentral describes it as "partial 16S ribosomal RNA". It matches the Rfam family "Bacterial small subunit ribosomal RNA", at positions 562 to 791 of the family's 1533-position model. The record is from RNAcentral.